Molecule: long non-coding RNA, 1489 nt
Filed under: Macaca fascicularis (crab-eating macaque)
Lineage: Eukaryota; Metazoa; Chordata; Mammalia; Primates; Cercopithecidae
Description: lncRNA (ENSMFAG00000049988.1)
Source: RNAcentral
UUAAUUUAUUAAAUGUACCAGGGUAUACUAAUUCAUUACAUUUUAAUUUUUCUAUAGAUACUCAAAUAGCUAAGCAAAUGGAGGUACAUGCCAGCCUUUCUUCUUUUAUAUACAACAGACAAAAGUAUUGGGAGGCUAGACACCAAUCAGCUAUUUUUUCUCCUGGAACCAGAUCAUCAUACUGCUGAGUUCCUUCAAACCAUUAAAGUACAGCCUUCCUUCCAAUGCUCCAUAAUCUGUUCAAAAUCACAGUAUAAAUACAAAGUUCUUCAAGCCAUUUUACAAAACCAGCAAAACUCUACAACAAAAUCCUACAGGAAAAAGUAGAACAAUCUCAUUUACAAACAGCAUUUUAACAGUAUUAUUAAAUGUAACAAAACAUAAGAUACAAAAUCUAAAUCCUUAAAGUCACACUAUUUCUACAGAAAUAAGACCCUCGCCCCACCUAUACUACUUAUGACUCAGGACAGUAGCUCAUCCCCACGGGGACCCCACUGGCCAACUUUUCACCAACCCUCACCAGAGGUGGAUGCCGGCCCUAGCACUGGCCCUGGCCCUCAUACUGGCUUCAGCUCUGGCCUUGGCUCUGGCCCUGUCGGCCUCGUCUGCUAGGGCCUCACGGUACUGCACUGGCCAGUGCUGGGGUUCCUUCUUAUGCAGCUUGGCCACGAACCCCAGGACUUUCAUCUUGCUGAUUUCCAGGUUGCUUCGGGGACCCCAAGAGAAUUCAUAUUCCGGUGGACUGGUGUGAGGCACCCGCCUGUAACUGAGGUAUCGCUGCUGCACAAAAUCUUCCAUAAUAAGCCUCUUCGGAUACCCAAAGAGGAAAUGAUACUUUGAGGGUUGCAUCCCCAACCGAUGCAGCAUCUCCCAGACUUGGGCUUCCCCGGCCCUAUUACCUCUCAUAUAGAUAAGUGUGGUGCUUGCGGUCAAACUGUUUCAGCUCAAAACCAAAGACAUACCGCAGAUGCUCUGCGGCCCUUGCGAUGAUGUCCGGGAACAGAGCCUUCAAGUCUCCAAUAACGUAUUUCACCAUCUCCGAGCGUGUGAUGGGACUCUUCUUCUUGUCUUUCACCAGGAGGAACUGCACCAACUCCGCCACCGUCCGAUUCAGACGGCGGCAGGCCCUGCGCCUUGCCAAGGCUUUGGCUGCCAAGGCCCUCGCGCCUUUCCGGGUGAGGGCGGGCUCCGCAGCCCCUCCUCCCUCCCGGCGCCAAGCUCCUCCUUGGGGCGCUCCUGCGAGGCGGUCCGGGCCCGGGUCUCACCAUCAUGGCCGCCAUCCUUCUCCCCCUCGGCCUGCGGGACCGGGAGCCCCCUGCUCUCUGGUGUCUGCAACAUGUUUUCGGGCAGGCAGGUGCACAGCGCGUGCACGGGCCGAGGGGUGUGGAAGCCGCCGUGCAAGCCCCGGGGGAGAGGCUGGACAGCGGCUGGGGCGGCGGGAGUACGAGGAGCAAUGGCAGAAGGAACUUUGUAGCUGCUGGGCCGCACC